Molecule: unclassified non-coding RNA, 314 nt
Filed under: plant metagenome
Description: partial contains 5.8S ribosomal RNA, internal transcribed spacer 2, and large subunit ribosomal RNA
Rfam family: 5.8S ribosomal RNA (bases 1-105)
Source: RNAcentral
GAAAUGCGAUAAUUAAUGUGAAUUGCAGAAUUCAGUGAAUCAUCGAGUCUUUGAACGCACAUUGCGCCCCCUGGUAUUCCGGGGGGCAUGCCUGUCCGAGCGUCAUUGCUGCCCUCAAGCACGGCUUGUGUGUUGGGCUUCCGUCCCUGGCAACGGGGACGGGCCCAAAAGGCAGUGGCGGCACCAUGUCUGGUCCUCGAGCGUAUGGGGCUUUGUCACCCGCUCCCGUAGGUCCAGCUGGCAGCUAGCCUCGCAACCAAUCUUUUCAACCAGGUUGACCUCGGAUCAGGUAGGGAUACCCGCUGAACUUAAGC